UGGGGUGUUGCUCCACGGUGAGAGCCACAGACUGUAAAUCUGUCACCAUAAGGUUAAGUAGGUUCGACUCCUACCACCCCAA
RNAcentral lists this transfer RNA (82 nucleotides) under Muribaculaceae bacterium. Its description in RNAcentral is "tRNA-Tyr". It matches the Rfam family "tRNA". From Rfam's summary of the family: Transfer RNA (tRNA) molecules are approximately 80 nucleotides in length. Their secondary structure includes four short double-helical elements and three loops (D, anti-codon, and T loops). Lineage: Bacteria; Pseudomonadati; Bacteroidota; Bacteroidia; Bacteroidales; Muribaculaceae. The record is from RNAcentral.